Musa acuminata AAA Group (dessert banana) is the source of this 848-nucleotide long non-coding RNA. RefSeq lists it as uncharacterized. The transcript is spliced from 2 exons. The record is from RefSeq and is a predicted model, not a curated record. NCBI's taxonomy places the organism in Eukaryota, Viridiplantae, Streptophyta, Magnoliopsida, Zingiberales, Musaceae.
GCCAUACCUAUGAACCCAACAAAACAGAUCAAAAGAUAUCCUUUCUGCUCAGUUCACUGUCCAUCUGAAUUAUGGAGGUCCAAAACACAGACAUGUCUCCAUUGGUUCCUUGGUGUGGUUGGUGAUGUGUCUUUGUUUGUAAUGUAAAGCUGAUACAUAUCCCUGUUUAACUAUUUGACAGGUGCUCUGAGAAGAUGUGGAUGCAGCAGACAAAAGCAGAUCACAGAGGCUGCCCUCAUCCAUGCCUGUCUUUUGCCAUUCACAGAGGAGCUGUGACAUCGAAAGUGUUUGCCAAUGGUCCAAACCUAUCACCAGGAUUUUGGUCCAUCACAAUAUGAUGGUGAAAUCAUUGUCAUCUUCUCCAUCCAGACCUGAGUCAUGUAGCAACUGUAGCAUGUCAUGUCAUGAGUACACAGCAGCUGCUCACAUCAUAUUUUGGAUUUCAAGACCUCCCUCUCUCUUUCUUUCUCCGAGUUGUCUGCAACAAUUAAUGAAGUUGGGACAUGGCAAGAUCUUCUCAUUAGCUCACACCUACAAGUCCAUGUUCUUGAGCCAACAUGGUGGGACUUCAUUGGCUUGGUCUAAAGGUGAUGUGGUAAACCAAUUCUAUACAAGUCAGCUAAACAAAUUCUCAGUACUUUUGUCCAUUUCAUAUCCUUCUUUAGAUGUGGUUUGACAAAAUGCAGUGUGCUGUAUGUGUUGAUGCUUCCUGCAACAGGAGUGAGCUUAGUCUCCUCACUCAUGGAAAAAAGACAACAAGGAAAUGAAAUGUAAAAGAAGAAGAUGCAACAUCAUAUUAUUACUGAAUGAGAAGUCAACCUGAGGGAUGAAAUUGCAUGCUCUGAUCA